RNAcentral lists this ribosomal RNA (207 nucleotides) under uncultured bacterium. Its description in RNAcentral is "partial 16S ribosomal RNA". It matches the Rfam family "Bacterial small subunit ribosomal RNA", at positions 568 to 774 of the family's 1533-position model. The record is from RNAcentral.
UGCGCAGGCGGUUUGAUAAGACAGGCGUGAAAUCCCCGGGCUUAACCUGGGAAUGGCGCUUGUGACUGUCAGGCUAGAGUGCGUCAGAGGGGGGUAGAAUUCCACGUGUAGCAGUGAAAUGCGUAGAGAUGUGGAGGAAUACCGAUGGCGAAGGCAGCCCCCUGGGACGUGACUGACGCUCAUGCACGAAAGCGUGGGGAGCAAACA